RNAcentral lists this unclassified non-coding RNA (267 nucleotides) under Hevea brasiliensis (rubber tree). The record is from RNAcentral. Lineage: Eukaryota; Viridiplantae; Streptophyta; Magnoliopsida; Malpighiales; Euphorbiaceae.
UCCAGUACUUUAACACCUCUUGAAGCUUAUUGUAGAUUGGGCCAUCCUUCCUUAUCUACCUUAAAGAAAUUAUGUCAUUAGUUUCAGUCUUUGUCAGUACUAGAAUGUAAGUCAUGUCAGUUUACUAAGCAUCAUCGUUUACCUUCUGCGUCUAGAGUCAAUAAACGAGUUUCGUCUUCUUUUGAGUUAAUUCAUUCUGAUAUUUGGGGUCCUUGCUCUGUUACUUCUAAACUUGCAUUUAGAUAUUUUGUUACUUUUAUUGAUGAU